GGCGAGGUAGCUCAGUGGUAGAGCAGGGGACUCAUAAGCCCUUGGUCGUGGGUUCAACCCCCACUCUCGCCA
Molecule: transfer RNA, 72 nt
Filed under: Levilinea saccharolytica
Lineage: Bacteria; Bacillati; Chloroflexota; Anaerolineae; Anaerolineales; Anaerolineaceae
Also listed under: 2 other names
Rfam family: tRNA
About the family: Transfer RNA (tRNA) molecules are approximately 80 nucleotides in length. Their secondary structure includes four short double-helical elements and three loops (D, anti-codon, and T loops).
Source: Rfam by way of RNAcentral